GACCUCACAGCUUCCUGCUUCCUGGCGACAGCAGGAAGUGGGGACUAAUUGCUGAGCAAGCCUCCCCAUUCCUGCCUGAAAAAAUAGUGUGUGGUGAGACUGGCCUAACAGAGCAGGGAAGUCUCAAGAGGAAUACUGUUUUUAAUAACAGUCUCAUUAUAAUCUCCUCCUUUGGUGUCUCUUGCCUGAGGCAAUAAUACAAGGAGAGCUGGAAGUUCAUAAAGACUGCUGCUCGGAAUCUAUAUACAAAUGGACAAACUAUUGAACAUCAUGGACGAUGCCAGUCACCCUCUGCACACCGUCAUCAGCAACCAGAGGAGACUGGUCAGUGACAGAAUGCUCCUUCCCAAGUGCAGGACUAACAGACUUGAAAACUCCUUUGUCCCUCACGCCAUCAGGCUGUACAACUCCUCUCUGGGGGGGAGGAGGGGUAACAGGAGGACAGAGGAUGGGAAGGAGCAGUAGUCUAGCCUAACAAUAAGCAAUACCGGACAAUGUGCAAUAUUAAAGUGCUGAUGACACGAACAUGACUCUAUGCAAUUUCUUAAAUAAACUAUACAACAUGGCAAACAUGUUAGAUUUCUGUUAUAAUUACGUGAAAAGAAGCUGUUGUUACGCGAAUAUCCAACUUUUAAUUGCACAGCGCAAGAAAACUGGGUCCGUGGCUCGCGGCCAUAUUGUGAUGUCAGCGGAAGAACACGCUGCGGUUCACUGGCUGUUCUACUCAAUGGAAAUGGCGCAUGAAAACGCCGGUGAACUCUCUAGUGCUAGCUCUUCAACAACCAAAUACUGGUACUUUAAGCAGUGAUCAUGAUGGCAUGAUUUUAUCUGAUUUUAAAUAAAUGAGAUUGAUAAUAAUGUGAAUGUUCACAACUAGUACAUUCAAACUCUGCAGCUUCUGAUUCAGCAGCUGCGUCAUACUCCGCAAAAACAUCAGCAAGAACCUACAAUAUAAAUGGAAAUGCAAUACACUAAGCUCAAAUGACUUUUGGAAAGUAUAAUUUCUAAAUUUUUUCUACAUAUUCUUGAAGUCGGUCAUCGGGGUACUUGCUACUGUUCCCUAACAACGCAUGGCAAAGGGUAAAGUGUAGUGUUGCUACGAGUACUUGCUAAAGCCUCCGGUGGAAGAUCCUCGAUGUGCUGAUAAGACAUACAGUUCUAUAUAACACACAAGUGUCACGAUAAUCACAAAACAGAUGCAAAUUGUUAAAAUACUUAAUUUUUAAGCAGUCAUGUAUUGAUCUCUUCCGAAUAGAAUCUAUGAUAGCCUACCCUCUUUACCCUUUGCCUCUCGUUGCUAGGCGGCAGUUACAUGAAAGCCGCAAGCUUUCACAAGCAAAUACAUGACUGAUAUCACGCCGACUUUAUGAUUACAUUUAUGAUUAUCAUGAAUGUGUACUCUAUGAUGUGUACUCUGAGCGCUCUGGAGUGAGUCACUUCCAAGAUGGCCACGCAGACCGCAUGGUUACUAUUUUUAGCAUCAUGUCAGAGCACUCUAUAGCUCUACGUACCUUUAUCUUAUGUCGUUUCUCAACACAUGUUCUGACAGGAGGACUGUCUUUGGAGGAGUCGCCUUGUCCCAGGCGACUGCUGGAUCCGGCAUAGCUACUAGUAGACCCCCUCCGGAAUACUGUAGGCACUGCUGAUGGUAGCAGCACACGUUUGUGCUGAACUGAACACCCAAGAGAUUCUUUUAAGCUGGGAAGGGUGUCAAAACAAUCCAAAUCGAAGUGUUCAGAGCACAGGACGGAUGUUGGUGAGGGCUCCCACUUGUCACGAGUGCGCCUGACUUGCUUCACCCGCUUCGCAUGCAGCUCGGGAUCUCUGGGAAACUUGAAUAAACUUACCCCAUCCUUGUGGGUUUUGGAGCAAAA
This is a long non-coding RNA of Neoarius graeffei (lesser salmon catfish), 1874 nucleotides long. RefSeq lists it as uncharacterized. The record is from RefSeq and is a predicted model, not a curated record. NCBI's taxonomy places the organism in Eukaryota, Metazoa, Chordata, Actinopteri, Siluriformes, Ariidae. The transcript is spliced from 3 exons.